This 491-nucleotide ribosomal RNA is filed under the name uncultured bacterium. Its description in RNAcentral is "partial 16S ribosomal RNA". It matches the Rfam family "Bacterial small subunit ribosomal RNA", at positions 29 to 506 of the family's 1533-position model. The record is from RNAcentral.
AGUGAACGCUGGCGGUAGGCCUAACACAUGCAAGUCGAACGGCAGCACAGUAAGAGCUUGCUCUUACGGGUGGCGAGUGGCGGACGGGUGAGGAAUACAUCGGAAUCUACUUUUUCGUGGGGGAUAACGUAGGGAAACUUACGCUAAUACCGCAUACGACCUACGGGUGAAAGCAGGGGAUCUUCGGACCUUGCGCGAUUGAAUGAGCCGAUGUCGGAUUAGCUAGUUGGCGGGGUAAAGGCCCACCAAGGCGACGAUCCGUAGCUGGUCUGAGAGGAUGAUCAGCCACACUGGAACUGAGACACGGUCCAGACUCCUACGGGAGGCAGCAGUGGGGAAUAUUGGACAGUGGGCGCAAGCCUGAUCCAGCCAUACCGCGUGGGUGAAGAAGGCCUUCGGGUUGUAAAGCCCUUUUGUUGGGAAAGAAAAGCAGCAGGUUAAUACCCCGCUGUUCUGACGGGACCCAAAGAAUAAGCACCGGCUAACUUCGU